GGGCGUUGCGGUGGCCUACCAUGCAGUCGACGGCAGCACAGGAGAGCUUGCUCUCUGGGUGGCGAGUGGCGGACGGGUGAGGAAUACAUCGGAAUCUACCUUUUCGUGGGGGAUAACGUAGGGAAACUUACGCUAAUACCGCAUACGACCUUCGGGUGAAAGCAGGGGACCUUCGGGCCUUGCGCGGAUAGAUGAGCCGAUGUCGGAUUAGCUAGUUGGCGGGGUAAAGGCCCACCAAGGCGACGAUCCGUAGCUGGUCUGAGAGGAUGAUCAGCCACACUGGAACUGAGACACGGUCCAGACUCCUACGGGAGGCAGCAGUGGGGAAUAUUGGACAAUGGGCGCAAGCCUGAUCCAGCCAUACCGCGUGGGUGAAGAAGGCCUUCGGGUUGUAAAGCCCUUUUGUUGGGAAAGAAAAGCAGUCGGCUAAUACCCGGUUGUUCUGACGGUACCCAAAGAAUAAGCACCGGCUAACUUCGUGCCAGCAGCCGCGGUAAUACGAAGGGUGCAAGCGUUACUCGGAAUUACUGGGCGUAAAGCGUGCGUAGGUGGUUGUUUAAGUCUGUUGUGAAAGCCCUGGGCUCAACCUGGGAAUUGCAGUGGAUACUGGGCGACUAGAGUGUGGUAGAGGGUAGUGGAAUUCCCGGUGUAGCAGUGAAAUGCGUAGAGAUCGGGAGGAACAUCCAUGGCGAAGGCAGCUACCUGGACCAACACUGACACUGAGGCACGAAAGCGUGGGGAGCAAACAGGAUUAGAUACCCUGGUAGUCCACGCCCUAAACGAUGCGAACUGGAUGUUGGGUGCAAUUUGGCACGCAGUAUCGAAGCUAACGCGUUAAGUUCGCCGCCUGGGGAGUACGGUCGCAAGACUGAAACUCAAAGGAAUUGACGGGGGCCCGCACAAGCGGUGGAGUAUGUGGUUUAAUUCGAUGCAACGCGAAGAACCUUACCUGGUCUUGACAUGUCGAGAACUUUCCAGAGAUGGAUUGGUGCCUUCGGGAACUCGAACACAGGUGCUGCAUGGGCUGUCGUCAGCUCGUGUCGUGAGAUGUUGGGGUUUAAGU
This 1063-nucleotide ribosomal RNA is filed under the name Pseudomonas putida. RNAcentral describes it as "bacterial SSU rRNA". It matches the Rfam family "Bacterial small subunit ribosomal RNA", at positions 31 to 1085 of the family's 1533-position model. Lineage: Bacteria; Pseudomonadati; Pseudomonadota; Gammaproteobacteria; Pseudomonadales; Pseudomonadaceae. The record is from RNAcentral.